This 1492-nucleotide long non-coding RNA is filed under the name Nicotiana benthamiana. RNAcentral describes it as "long non-coding RNA (NBEN_LNC007747)". Lineage: Eukaryota; Viridiplantae; Streptophyta; Magnoliopsida; Solanales; Solanaceae. The record is from RNAcentral.
AUUCCUUCCCAUUCUUCACUACUCCUUCCAUGUCCAGCCACCUCCAUUUGCAUCUGAAAGGAGAAAAGACAUUAUUUUCUUUUUAGGAUGAGAACUUGCACUUGAAAUGCAGUAAUAUGUUCUAGCAGAAGAAACACUUUCAUGAAAGAUUAUUAAAUCAUUGAAAACGGUACUAGGUUUCUCAAUAUUAUCGAGCAUUCUCACUUUUCUUCUAGGCUUUUCAACAGAACCUUCUCCAAGAGAUGCCAAAACAUUUCAAGUAGAUCGAUUUACGCUGCUACCUAGUAAACAAUAAAAGCUGCCAGCACAAACCACAAGAAUUCAUUGAUGACGUCCAAAGAAUGGGAGAUGAUCAUCUGCAUUGUAUACCACAUCUAUUGUUCCAUGAAGUCCAAGAACAUGUAACAUGAGAUAUUUGCUAGUACUAUUUUCGAUAGAAAAACUCCAGUGCAAAUGUAAUUGGAGUAACCAAAUACAUUCCACUAAGCAUAGGAACAUGAUUAGAUAGUAUUUUUUCUGAAGAAAGUGAAUACACCAAGCACUAGUAACCAAAUACGUAAAUGUUUUGUGUCUAUUCCUGCCAACGAUCUGGCCAGAUGGAGUCAAACCAGGUAUGUUGAUUGGAAUACCUCCAUUCCUGAUCCUCAUGCAAUCAGUGAGUAACAACAGCAAAAAGGAUCCUCAAACUUUUAUAAUCCAGGAGAUUUCCAUCUGUUACUGGAAAGUACUGGAUUUAUGGUGACGCUAAGGAGCUUAAGAUUCUGGACAAUGAUUUUAUACAAGGUAUAAUCUUUCAGGAAAAUGCGAUAAGAAAGGCACAGACCUUUUUUUCCGUAACCUACAUCAAGCUCAGCCUCUCACUUUCAAGUAAACCUGUCAGCAAGAUGUCAAGAGGAAUAAGCCCCUUAUAGAGCUCAACACUUCUCCCAGUACAACAGGGUAUUGGAAAUGCUAUUAAAUAACCCUAUGGAAUAUGUUCUACUCAAUUUUUGGACUCAAUUGGGUCAUGACACAUAAGAGUUAAAAAGCCUACAAAGGUUGAGCUUAUGAAGAGUUGAUAAAGAGACAUCAAGAAGAUCUGGAUUUUGGUCCCUGCAAGUAUUUUUUUCUUUUUUUGUGUUUGGACAAAAAGGAAUUACAGAUAUUUCGAUGGAAUCUCAACUCUGAACCACUCUUUAAAAGCUAGACGAAGACUUUAUUUAUUUAGCUGGAGCCUAGGUUGCUCGGACUCGGGUGCGGGUGGCCGAUACGGGUGAGGAUCUACAAGUCGGAUCCUUCAUGAUCUAAUUUUAAGAUUUGGGGGUAUGGAUCGAGGUAUGGAUACGGAUACGGGAUUCAGCUAAAGUAAUAUAUCCAAAAAUAGAGUUAUAAAAUAUGUCUAAAUUAUGAAAUAUUAUGUGGAGAACUUAUAAGAUAUAGGAGAAAAUAUUGAUCAAGAGGAGAAUCCGAGAAGGAGACAAAAGGAAAAUGACAGACAUAAAAAUUUUCAUAC